Centrocercus urophasianus (Greater sage-grouse) is the source of this 1607-nucleotide long non-coding RNA. RefSeq lists it as uncharacterized. NCBI's taxonomy places the organism in Eukaryota, Metazoa, Chordata, Aves, Galliformes, Phasianidae. The transcript is spliced from 5 exons. The record is from RefSeq and is a predicted model, not a curated record.
CCCAGGCUUUUCUCUCCACCCAAGGUGCGAGCCCAGCCUCUGCAGAGCAGCAUGAGACAUGUGCUCGUGGAUGCAAACAAAAUCAUAUGUUAACAUUAGUUAACAGGUAUAAGGUAAAAGUCGUUAACUGUCUGUAAAGUAGCACAUUCUGAUGGGGUCCUGAGUGCUGGGAUUUCUUGAACCUGGGACACGUGUGUUGCAGAGUUAAAAAAGAAAUGACUUCCAUAUCAUAGGAGCCAGUAGUAGCCCCAGUAACAGCCAGACUCAGGCAGCUACUGCUUCAGUUGAAUGCCAAUAAUUUCUUUUAAAAGUCCACGUAACCACAGAAACAAACUCUGUUAUUAAGGAAAACUUGAGAUGACUGAUUUCGCUGGUGGUCAUAAACGGGCUGCGUGGUUUGGAUAUCAACACACAAGUGGCCGGAGGGAGCGAGCACAGGGGAAAGCCACCGAGGAGAUGCAGUGAAUUCCCAGACAAAAUCCAGCCACUGAGUCAGCAACUGCUUCCGAAUUGCCAAGGAAAGACACAAAGCCGUGUGACCAGUGGGCUCUGUCUUUUUUUUCUUUUUUCUUUUUUCCUUUUUUUUUUUUCCAAGCUUUAGUAGAAAAAUUGCCCAUUUCCUAAAGUAUUUUGCAAUGUGGAAAUAACCUGAGCUGCCUGGAAGGGCUGAUCCUGCCUUUUGUUGUAUUUCUCAUCACCACUCUCCUAAAAUUGACACCCCAGCAUAUGCACAUUGAGCAGUUCUGGUGUUUUCCUCCCGGCUCCAACUUAUUUACAACUGCAAUGUGGCCAAAGGCCUCAUUUUGCAACAUUGGGGAGUCUGGCAGCAAGCACCAAAAUCCGCACAGGUCCCCGGGGCGCUCCGCUGCACGCCUUAUUCUGCAGCCUCUGGUCUGACAGAUGUGCCCGUUUGCUAGGACAAGGGGAAUGGGCAAGUGAAAACGUACAUUCUGACAUUGUCUGUUCCAGGUAGGCUCCCUGCUGGACAACGCCUUGCAUGUCCCAGGACUGAUCUUCACCGGAGCUGUGAACGUUCAAUGAGGAGAAUUUAUGUUUAUACCAAAGCCUCAGAUUCAGUGACUGGCGAUACAAUGCACAAAACCACAGGGAAAUGUUCAAAAGAAGCUACACAGGUUUUGUUAGGCUGCGCUGUCUAGCAAAACUGGAUCAGUCACUUGGCACACAAACCCGGAGCGAGAUCGGGGUCUGCUGUUUUAGCGAGACUUAUUGUGAGGAAGGGAGCUACGUGAUGCAACUGUGUCGGACAACGUCACCUACGCUGUCUGAAGGCAAAGCACAGCUCUAAGGUUGUGGGUGCUACAGUUCCUCCUACUCGACUUGAUGGAGAGGCGAUCAGGAUGAGGCUGUGCCCUCAAGCCCAGUACUGGUGCUGCUUAGCGUGAGAACUGCAGUGGCACCUUUUACAGCAAGGAUCAAUGGAAGCCCGUGAGCAGCUUCGCCGCCAGGGAAACUACGGAGGCUGUGAGUGCCGGGGACUCAGGGACGACACGCACCGGGGCUCCCGGGUAUCCCGCGCCUCCAUUAGAGGGCUGCCGGGCUCCCACCCGGGACAACUGUCGGGUUCCCCCUGCUGUUCAGCUUUAGCA